CUACCCCAUGGUCCUUCCCUGCACUUACCAGAGCAGCUGGGAAAGUAGUUUGCCUUGUAGCUGACCUGCCAUGUCAUCCAGAGUCCUGUGCUCCUGGCACCCUUCUGGAUCACAGUGAAGACCAUGGAAGACAUAAUGUCAAGGAAUAAGGUCAGAGUUGGAAGAGUGCACACCUGCUUUGAAGGUACAGUGCCUUUAAGAGAAGGCCUUCAGCUCCAGGCCUGUACCGUGCAGAAGGGCACCCCAAUUCUAUAUGGAGGAUCAAAGCUUUGCUCUGAGGUAAUAGAUUUUUCUCCUGGAAGAACAGCAAAAAUGAAGCCAGUCGAGAAGAAAACCCAUCGUCAGUUACAGUAUGAACUAGCAAGGAAGGAAAGGAGAUUGAAGAUAGAAGCCUGUAAGAGGUGGAGGAAGAGACUAAAGAGAGAUUAACAGAACUGUCAAAGGAACCCAAGACAAAUUUUGCCAUUGGUUGAAUUGCAUGAAGCUUAUUUUUCUGACUUUCUUCUUCUUUCAGCGAUUAUAAAUGAGUGGAUGUCAGGGACUUAGAAACAGUUCCAUGCCAAAGAAUUCAGUAAAUGGAUGUCAAUUUUUUACUGGGAAAAUGCAAAUAUGAAUAAAUUAACCUAUGUGCUUUUCA
Gavialis gangeticus (Gharial) is the source of this 637-nucleotide long non-coding RNA. RefSeq lists it as uncharacterized. The record is from RefSeq and is a predicted model, not a curated record. The transcript has 3 exons. NCBI's taxonomy places the organism in Eukaryota, Metazoa, Chordata, Crocodylia, Gavialidae.